RNAcentral lists this ribosomal RNA (425 nucleotides) under uncultured bacterium. RNAcentral's name for it is "partial 16S ribosomal RNA". It matches the Rfam family "Bacterial small subunit ribosomal RNA", at positions 354 to 796 of the family's 1533-position model. The record is from RNAcentral.
GUGGGGAAUCUUGCGCAAUGGGCGAAAGCCUGACGCAGCCAUGCCGCGUGAAUGAUGAAGGUCUUAGGAUUGUAAAAUUCUUUCACCGGGGACGAUAAUGACGGUACCCGGAGAAGAAGCCCCGGCUAACUUCGUGCCAGCAGCCGCGGUAAUACGAAGGGGGCUAGCGUUGCUCGGAAUUACUGGGCGUAAAGGGCGCGUAGGCGGACAGUUUAGUCAGAGGUGAAAGCCCAGGGCUCAACCUUGGAAUUGCCUUUGAUACUGGCUGUCUUGAGAACGGGAGAGGUGAGUGGAACUCCGAGUGUAGAGGUGAAAUUCGUAGAUAUUCGGAAGAACACCAGUGGCGAAGGCGACUCACUGGCCCGUUACUGACGCUGAGGCGCGAAAGCGUGGGGAGCAAACAGGAUUAGAAACCCGAGUAGUCC